UACGGAGGAUGCAAGCGUUAUCCGGAUUUAUUGGGUUUAAAGGGUGCGCAGGUUGUUUAAUAAGUCAGUGGUGAAAGUCUGUCGCUUAACGGUAGGAUUGCCAUUGAUACUGUUGGACUUGAAUAUGGAUGAGGUAGGCGGAAUGUGUAGUGUAGUGGUGAAAUGCAUAGAUAUUACACAGAACACCGAUUGCGAAGGCAGCUUACUAAUCCAUCAUUGACGCUGAGGCACGAAAGCGUGGGGAUCAAACAGGA
This 254-nucleotide ribosomal RNA is filed under the name uncultured prokaryote. RNAcentral describes it as "partial 16S ribosomal RNA". It matches the Rfam family "Bacterial small subunit ribosomal RNA", at positions 524 to 777 of the family's 1533-position model. The record is from RNAcentral.